GACGAACGCUGGCGGCGUGCUUAAUACAUGCAAGUCGAACGCUGAAGCUCAGCUUUUGUUGGGUGGAUGAGUGGCGAACGGGUGAGUAACACGUGAGUAACCUGCACCCUUCUUUGGGAUAACGCCCGGAAACGGGUGCUAAUACUGGAUAUUCACUGGUCUUCGCAUGGGGGUUGGUGGAAAGGGUUUUUCUGGUGGGGGGUGGGCUCGCGGCCUAUCUGCUUGUUGGUGGGGUGAUGGCUUACCCAGGCGUUGACGGGUAGCCGGCGUGAGAGGGUGACCGGUCACAGUGGGACGGAGAUGCGGCCCAGACUAGUACGCGGGGCAGCAGUGGGGAAUAUUGCACAAAGGGCGCAAGCCUGAUGCAGCGUCGCCGCGGGAGGGAUGGGGGCCUUCGGGUUGUGAACCUCUUGCGCACAAGGUCAAGCCGCAACAAUGGUUGUGGUGAGGGUAGUGGAUAAAAAAGCGCCGGCUAACUACGUG
This 483-nucleotide ribosomal RNA is filed under the name uncultured bacterium. RNAcentral describes it as "partial 16S ribosomal RNA". It matches the Rfam family "Bacterial small subunit ribosomal RNA", at positions 28 to 507 of the family's 1533-position model. The record is from RNAcentral.